This 467-nucleotide ribosomal RNA is filed under the name uncultured bacterium. RNAcentral's name for it is "partial 16S ribosomal RNA". It matches the Rfam family "Bacterial small subunit ribosomal RNA", at positions 29 to 507 of the family's 1533-position model. The record is from RNAcentral.
AUGAACGCUGGCGGCGUGCUUAACACAUGCAAGUCGAACGGUGAAGGCGGAGCUUGCUCUGCUGGAUCAGUGGCGAACGGGUGAGUAACACGUGAGCAAUCUGCCCCUGACUCUGGGAUAAGCGCUGGAAACGGCGUCUAAUACUGGAUACGAGCUGCGAAGGCAUCUUCAGCAGCUGGAAAGAAUUUCGGUCAGGGAUGAGCUCGCGGCCUAUCAGCUUGUUGGUGAGGUAAUGGCUCACCAAGGCGUCGACGGGUAGCCGGCCUGAGAGGGUGACCGGCCACACUGGGACUGAGACACGGCCCAGACUCCUACGGGAGGCAGCAGUGGGGAAUAUUGCACAAUGGACGAAAGCCUGAUGCAGCAACGCCGCGUGAGGGACGACGGCCUUCGGGUUGUAAACCUCUUUUAGCAGGGAAGAAGCGAAAGUGACGGUACCUGCAGAAAAAGCGCCGGCUAACUACGUG